This 3170-nucleotide long non-coding RNA is filed under the name Vigna radiata. Its description in RNAcentral is "long non-coding RNA (VRAD_LNC009139)". Lineage: Eukaryota; Viridiplantae; Streptophyta; Magnoliopsida; Fabales; Fabaceae. The record is from RNAcentral.
UUUUCGAAAGCCUGAACAUAGAGGUGCUAAUGGGCUUCAAUUCUUGCACAGAGGCUCGUUAAGUCUAGUUAGGGCCUUCUCGAGCUGGGCCCAUUUCUGCUCGAAGGUGCCAAUGUACCCAAUGGACAUUCUCACAAGCCCAGGUGAAAUCCCAGCGAGUUUCUUUUCCUCUGGGUUUAACUCGCUGCUGGUGCUACUUCCAGAGCAAGACAUCAGAGUCUCAUAGUAGCCCAAGCUCACCGCCAUGAACCCGAACUGCCCAUAGUUCUGCAAGUGGUUCAUCAACCGGUUAGCCCUCUCUUCAGUCUCCAUAUCCAGGCAGAUAAGCCCACAGAACCCAUACUCAGCAUUGUGCAUCGACUUCAGUAAUUGGUGCUGCGGGUGCUCCUCCAGGCCCGGGUAGAUCACCCUCAGGCCCAGGCUUUUCAGCCUCCUUGCGAACAAUAAAGCCCGUUGACUGUGCUCCUUCAUUCUUAGGCCCAGGUGUGGGAUUCUCUCGGAAAGUUCAAAUGCCACCUUUGCAUUCAUUGUGGGGCCCAAGAGCAUUAAGGAUCCUUGUUGCAGGUCCAUCAUCUUAUUCACCAGGCUUGCAGGCCCACACACAGCCCCUGAAAAGUUGUCAGUCAUAAUAUUUAUUACCGGUAGAAGUUUAAGAUGUAUUUUAAUUCUUACAUCAAUAGAACUUUGCUAUAAUAAGAGACUACAUACAUCAGUUUGAAAAUCAAUAAUAACUGUAUUUUUUUAAUGGAAGUAAAAAUAUAUUAAUUUUAUCUUUUGGCUAAAAACAAAUAUUUUUAAAAGCAAAGUAACACGUGUAACACGUCAAAAAGAAGGGAACAGAAGUUGUCCACUUCACGUGAUACUUAGGUCACAAGUGAAGGGUACACCAGCAUCACAUCAGUUCAAAAAGGAAUAUUCUAUUUAAUAAUAUUAUUUAGCAUUUGCAAAUAUUAAUAGUUUAUCAAGAAACUUACCAAAAUUAUUUUUUUAGUAUAUUAUUCAGCAUUUACAAAAAUUUAAAUUAUAAAAAAUAGUUGCAUCGAGGUAUAGAUAUAUUUUAUAUUAAUACAAUCAUCAACUAUUAUACGUUAGAUGUACUUAAUUUUAUAAUAUAUAAUUAAAAAAAAACAGUAUUAUAUAAGUUAUGGUUGACAAAAAACCUAACAAACACUGUGAAUUGAGAAAAUAUUUUUUACAAUAUGAAAAAAUAAUUAAAAAAAAAAACAAAUUCAUUUGGUGUACAGAAAAUAAAGUUUAACAACUCCACUUUCCAGAGCAGCCGGAAAAGAACCUCUUAAUACAAGAUAUAUUAUUUUUAAUGAAAGUUGUUCUAAAACACUUUCAUUAGCUUAUGGAGUGAUAGGGAUAUUUCAGAAUCCUCUCUCUUUGGUAACUAUUAAUUAUUUAAAACACGUUUCAAUUUGAAAAGAAAAGAUUAGUCACCACAAUUUUCAUCUUUUGCUUUUUCUCCUUUUAUCACUUCUUGUAUAAUUCCAGUUACCUUUCUCGGAGUUAUUAUAACUUUAGAAUAAUAAAUAAAUAAUUUAAUAUUCUAUUUUGUAUCAUUUAAAUAUAAUUUUAAAAGUUGACAUUAAUUAUGACAUUUAAAUAUUAAUAUGGUAAAUCAGAUCGCUUCAAUUGCACAUUAUGAGAAAAUUUUAAAUAAAGUAAGUGACUUUAUAAACAUUCCCGAAAAACAUUGUAUUGCUUAACAAAGUUUACUGGACCUACCAAAUAUAAAAUAAAAAUAAUUUUUGUUAUGAAUGUACUAUUAGGACUAGGACUGAUACUUCAGCAUGUGAGAUGGAUACACAUCAUUAUCAGGAUAAACUCGAUGACUUGUCCUUUGUGGAUUUGUGAUAAAAAAAGGAGUGUUUUAUAAUUAUUUUAUUUCAAAAAAAUUCUCUAAAGAUACCACUAAUAAACUAAUAAUACCACAAAUACCAAACAUCUUUUUAAGGGAUAUUUUUGUUUAUAUGUCUAAUUGCUUUCUCAUCUAACUUUUAUCAUAUUUUUUUAACCAUUUUUUAUUUUCUCACUAAUCAUUUAAUAUGACUCUAAAUUUCUCUCUCUUUCUCUAUUUUUUUCUCUCUUUCUAUUAUUUUUCUUUAUUUGUUCAUUUAAUACACCUGUAAAUUUCUGUCUUUUUCUCAUUUAUUGAUUUAUUGAUUUCUAUCUCUUCAUCACUUUCUUCCACACAUACACCCUCAACUUAGACUGAGAAUACAUAGCUUUUACUUUCUUUAAGAAACAAGACAAAAUAUUAAAUAUAUAAACUAAAAUAAUUCAUUGUUGUCAUAGAAAGAAUUGUCAUAGAAAGAAAUGUCAUAUUAUAAUUUUUAAUACUAUUUACUAGUAAGUUUUUAGUUCAUAUGUAUACAUCGAAUUUUUAUGGCAAACUAAGAAAAAAUUUAUUAUGGUACAUGUUCUUUUUCAUUAAAUAUCUUUGGGUUUGUGUGCGUGCUCAAUUUGAGAAGGAGAAUGAGUCUUAUAAUAAAAACGAGAAUAAACAAAAACUGAGAAUAUCUUUAUAGUGAUAGAUGUUAUAGUAAUUAUUGAAUAUUAAUUAAUUAUUUAAUUUCAGUUCAUUGAUUCAGUGAUCAACUAGAAAAAAUAAGAAAGAGAGAGAGAAUGGAAAGACGACAAAGAUACCUGCGAUUAUGUCGGCCCCACCGCUGAUGAACUUGGUGAUACUGUGAACCACCACAUCAGCACCAAGACGCGCCGGCGUAAGCACCAUGGGCGCGAACGUGUUGUCCACCACCACCGUCACCCCCUUACGUCGUGCCAUACGGCACAGCUCCGGUAUGUUUGCCACCGUAAGCGUCGGGUUCGAAAUUGACUCGAAGUAAAGCACUUUGGUCUUCCCCUCCACCAUGGCCUCAUCCACCAUCUCAAGAUCCGUCACCUCCACAAAACUUGUUUCUAUCCCGCACGUGCGUGGUAGAAAGUGCGAGAACAGAGCGUGGGUCCCACCGUACAACGUUCUGGAUGCCACCACGUGUUCCCCGUGACUGCACAGCUGCAACAGCACGGCACUGAUAGCCGACAUCCCGCUGGCGGUGCAGUACGCCGCCUCUGUGCCUUCCAGCGCAGCCAUGAGACGGCUCAGGUUCAGCACCGUCGGGUUGAAGUGGCGACUGUAGAUGAAAAAGUCCCGGUCAGGGCCA